Non-coding RNA from Prunus avium (sweet cherry), 1327 nucleotides. The record is from RefSeq and is a predicted model, not a curated record. NCBI's taxonomy places the organism in Eukaryota, Viridiplantae, Streptophyta, Magnoliopsida, Rosales, Rosaceae.
UUUGUUUUUACUGGCAUUUGUUUUAUUAUUUUUAAUUUCUUUUUGUAUAAAGUCCCUUUUUCUUCUUCUUGGUUUUAUGAUUGCGAUUAAGCUUCCUUUUGCCCCAGAGUGCCUAUAAUAGUAAGCAGAUGAUUAUGAAACAACACUUAAUGAAAUCCAAAUCAAGCGUUUACAAAUUUGAAUUUGGUCCAAGUUGGGUUAUGCCUCUUUCUAAUACUUCCCACCCUUUUAUUUUUACAAGGCAUGGUUGGUCUCAACUCAAAAGAAGCAAUGCCUUGUUAAGCAUGUAUUGGACAUGCAAACCAAAUGCAUGUUAUACAUGCUUCAAACAUAUUUUAAAUGCUACAUUGAAAAUCUAAUAUAUAAAGAAAAAAAUUUAGAUGGCUUUUGUGUAAAUUGUGGAAAAGUCAUGCCAAAGAGGCAGAGGAUCAAUGUGCAUAUGGUGUUCUUGUUGCAUUUGCAUUUUGUUUGGUAUUCAUGUAAUGUCAACUCUUUUUCAAGAGUUGUAACACAUUUUGUUGACUUUGCUUCCCUGACAAGAUUGGAUAUGAUUUGGUUGAUUUGAAUAAUCUCUUGUUAGAUAGAACCAUUUAGAUGAUGUCUAUGUUCUUAGGUAUUAAAUCACACGUGGGAUGGUUGAGAGCAUCUCAGCCAUCCAUACUUGAUUGAACAACUGAGAAACAUGACCUUGUUUAAAUGCCUUAAGGACUGUAGGAGAGAAGUUUGUGUAUUUAAGUACAACGUUAACAUAUUAUACAACUUGAUUGCCAUCCUAGUUUGUAUCCAUUAGCAUGCCUUUAACUUUUUUGCAAGUCUGGCUCUUAGUGAGAUUAACUAAGGACUGACUAGUAGAGGAAUAAUAAACUACUACAGAAGUUGUGAAAAAUGUGGAUAUGCAUGCAGUACUAUAGAAGAACCAUUCAGUCUUACGAUAUCAUAGUUCCACCAUGGCUGCCAUAAUAUUUUGCUUAAGCUUCAGUUGGCUGAGUUAUUUUAAUCUUUUCAAUGUGAUCUGCUCUACUUUUCAGGUCGGACAAUGUAAUGUGUGUGGUGGUAUUACUGAUGAAGAUCUCGUUGCAACUUGCAUUAAAUGCAAUAUAAGUACUGAGCACCCAGGGGGAGCUAUGAGUUGAAGUAAUAUGUUCUUUUGUUGGACAAUUUUAUAGGAGAAGCGAAGACUUCCGUAGCUUCUGGAAAUGAGCAUAUUGGGGAGAAGCAAUCAACGGAUGUCUUGGUGAAACUUCUUAUAAGAAGAUGGAGUCCAAAACAGUAAAGGAGCCACGCACAGUUUCAACAAUGAGGCACUCAUCACCUAUUUCCAGUCCAG